RNAcentral lists this transfer RNA (74 nucleotides) under Neofusicoccum parvum UCRNP2. RNAcentral describes it as "tRNA-Asn (GTT) (tRNA-Asn-GTT-3-1)". It matches the Rfam family "tRNA". Rfam says of the family: Transfer RNA (tRNA) molecules are approximately 80 nucleotides in length. Lineage: Eukaryota; Fungi; Ascomycota; Dothideomycetes; Botryosphaeriales; Botryosphaeriaceae. The record is from RNAcentral.
UCUCCCGUGGCGCAAUUGGCUAGCGCGUCUGACUGUUAAUCAGGAGGUUGACAGUUCAAGCCUGUCCGGGGGAG